RNAcentral lists this long non-coding RNA (221 nucleotides) under Elaeis guineensis (African oil palm). RNAcentral's name for it is "long non-coding RNA (EGUI_LNC003219)". Lineage: Eukaryota; Viridiplantae; Streptophyta; Magnoliopsida; Arecales; Arecaceae. The record is from RNAcentral.
GGGGGGGUCUGGGCGCAAAAGCCACGGGUGCCAGAGAGACGGGCCGUGGAGGGGUUGGAACUACGGGGCAUCGAAAAGGGGGGCCGGAGGGGGGUGGGAACCGUAGGCGCGCAUAGGGGGAUGGAGCACCGAUGCCACCGGUGCCAGAGAGGAGGCACAAGGGCAGAGGAGCCAUGGACAGACCAAUGGGGGACAGAGGAGGCGCAGGUAGCACGGACAGG